AUGAACGCUGGCGGCGUGCCUAAUACAUGCCAGUCGAGCGAACAGACGAGGAGCUUGCUCCUCUGACGUUAGCGGCGGACGGGUGAGUAACACGUGGAUAACCUACCUAUAAGACUGGGAUAACUUCGGGAAACCGGAGCUAAUACCGGAUAAUAUAUUGAACCGCAUGGUUCAAUAGUGAAAGACGGUUUUGCUGUCACUUAUAGAUGGAUCCGCGCCGCAUUAGCUAGUUGGUAAGGUAACGGCUUACCAAGGCAACGAUGCGUAGCCGACCUGAGAGGGUGAUCGGCCACACCGGAACUGAGACACGGUCCAGACUCCUACGGGAGGCAGCAGUAGGGAAUCUUCCGCAAUGGGCGAAAGCCUGACGGAGCAACGCCGCGUGAGUGAUGAAGGUCUUCGGAUCGUAAAACUCUGUUAUUAGGGAAGAACAAAUGUGUAAGUAACUAUGCACGUCUUGACGGUACCUAAUCAGAAAGCCACGGCUAACUACGUG
This 496-nucleotide ribosomal RNA is filed under the name uncultured bacterium. Its description in RNAcentral is "partial 16S ribosomal RNA". It matches the Rfam family "Bacterial small subunit ribosomal RNA", at positions 29 to 507 of the family's 1533-position model. The record is from RNAcentral.